Molecule: ribosomal RNA, 424 nt
Filed under: uncultured rumen bacterium
Lineage: Bacteria
Description: bacterial SSU rRNA
Rfam family: Bacterial small subunit ribosomal RNA
Source: RNAcentral
GUGGGGAAUAUUGGUCAAUGGGCGAGAGCCUGAACCAGCCAAGUAGCGUGAAGGAUGACUGCCCUACGGGUUGUAAACUUCUUUUGUCCAGGAAUAAAAAAUCCCUCGUGAGGGGUCUUGCAGGUACUGGUUGAAUAAGGACCGGCUAAUUCCGUGCCAGCAGCCGCGGUAAUACGGAAGGUCCGAGCGUUAUCCGGAUUUAUUGGGUUUAAAGGGUGCGUAGGCGGGGAAGCAAGUCAGCCGUAAAAUUGUUGAGCUCAACUCAAUCCCGCGGUUGAAACUGCCUCCCUUGAGUACACUAGAGGGCGAUGGAAUUCGUGGUGUAGCGGUGAAAUGCAUAGAUAUCACGAAGAACUCCGAUUGCGUAGGCAGUCGCCUGGGGUGCCACUGACGCUGAGGCACGAAGGUGCGGGUAUCAAACAGG